ACAAUGGGCGAAAGCCUGAUGCAGCGACGCCGCGUGGAGGAUGACGGCCUUCGGGUUGUAAACUCCUUUCGACAGGGACGAAGCGAGAGUGACGGUACCUGUAGAAGAAGCACCGGCCAACUACGUGCCAGCAGCCGCGGUAAUACGUAGGGUGCGAGCGUUGUCCGGAAUUACUGGGCGUAAAGAGCUUGUAGGCGGUCUGUCGCGUCUUCUGUGAAAACUUGGGGCUCAACCUUAAGCUUGCAGGCGAUACGGGCAGACUAGAGUACUUCAGGGGAGACUGGAAUUCCUGGUGUAGCGGUGAAAUGCGCAGAUAUCAGGAGGAACACCGGUGGCGAAGGCGGGUCUCUGGGAAGUAACUGACGCUGAGAGCGAAAGCAUGGGUAGCAAACAGGAUUAGAUACCCUGGUAGUCCAUGCCGUAAACGGUGGGUACUAGGUGUGGGUUUCCUUCCACGGGAUCCGUGCCGUAGCUAACGCAUUAAGUACCCCGCCUGGGGAGUACGG
Molecule: ribosomal RNA, 506 nt
Filed under: Nocardia sp. HM1
Lineage: Bacteria; Bacillati; Actinomycetota; Actinomycetes; Mycobacteriales; Nocardiaceae
Description: bacterial SSU rRNA
Rfam family: Bacterial small subunit ribosomal RNA
Source: RNAcentral